Long non-coding RNA from Perognathus longimembris pacificus (Pacific pocket mouse), 898 nucleotides. RefSeq lists it as uncharacterized. The transcript is spliced from 3 exons. Lineage: Eukaryota; Metazoa; Chordata; Mammalia; Rodentia; Heteromyidae. The record is from RefSeq and is a predicted model, not a curated record.
UAAAUGAGAGGCAGCCAUCAGCUCUCAGCCAAGAUGUAUUUUGGCAAGAUGAAGCCCAGCAUCAUCUUCGUCCUUUCUCUGCUCUUUGUUCUAGAGAAGCAAGCAGCUGGCGUUGCAUUCCAAGGUCAGAUGAAAAACCAGUUGCCAGAUAGAUCCUAUGAAUAUCUACUGACACAGCAAAAAGCUCGUCAACAUGUUGGACAAAAAGGCGUCAAAGGAAUUUCAAGUGAAGAAAGUUUUCUGGGCCAAACUAAAAGCCAGUUGCAGGACAGUGAUCUAGCCUUGCAACAAACACAAAGUAGGAAAGCCUAUAUAUCCAAAAAAAAAGCCACCCUUUGCCAGGCAGGAGGAUUAGGCCAUACCAAAGCCCAAGUCAUCGCUACUAAGCAUGCCAGUGGAGAGUCACAAGUCCGUAAACAUUUUGGUAUAAGCCAAGCAAAGGGAAGGUCAGGUCAAUAUUUAGGCACCAAAGGAAGCUACUUUGGAACCAAAGGCUCUUCCCAACAGCUCAAGGGAGCUAGUCACUACAUGAAAACCAAGGGAGGCUCCUUCUAUGGGGGAACAAAAGGCACACAAUUCCAAGAAAGACAGGUCUCAUUUAAAGGGCAAUCACAAUACCCCAGUGAAGAGGUAAUGCAGCAACGAUUUGUCAAGGGAGGUCAAAUCCAAGACUCUGUGGAACAAUAUCUUCAAUAAUACACUGAAGACCAGGACCAAUUUGGAGGGUCCUCUAACCUGAGUGCAGUCUGUGAUGUCUUCAAGAUCUGUUCUACCACAUGACCCCAGACCCUUGGGACAUCGGUGGCGCCCCUCCCCCCACUUGCUUUUCUUCAGGAUUUCUCAACCUGUGGAUGCCUGAAACAUGUGCUUUUCAAUAAAAACAUAACUUUCUGCAUCA